Molecule: ribosomal RNA, 374 nt
Filed under: uncultured organism
Description: bacterial SSU rRNA
Rfam family: Bacterial small subunit ribosomal RNA
Source: RNAcentral
CCUCAAUGGAAAGCUUGCUUUAGCUGGCUUAGUGGCGAACGGGUGAGUAACACGUAAAUAACCUGCCCAUGUGCCUGGGAUAACUGCUGGAAACGGUAGCUAAAACCGGAUAGGUAAUAGGAUGGCAUCAUCUUAUUAUUAAAGGACCGUAUGGUCUGAACAUGGAUGGAUUUGCGGCGCAUUAGCUAGUUGGUGAGGUAACGGCCCACCAAGGCGACGAUGCGUAGCCGACCUGAGAGGGUGAACGGCCACAUUGGGACAGAGACACGGCCCAAACUCCUACGGGAGGCAGCAGUAGGGAAUUUUCGUCAAUGGAGGAAACUCUGAACGAGCAAUGCCGCGUGAGUGAUGAAGGUUUUCGGAUCGUAAACCGC